UAAAAAUUGGGGUGGUGAUGGUGGUAUAU
This 29-nucleotide non-coding RNA is filed under the name Rattus norvegicus (Norway rat). Lineage: Eukaryota; Metazoa; Chordata; Mammalia; Rodentia; Muridae. The record is from RNAcentral.